GAUGAACGCUAGCGGCAGGCUUAAUACAUGCAAGUCGAGGGGCAGCAUAAGUAGCAAUACUUGAUGGCGACCGGCAAACGGGUGCGGAACACGUACGCAACCUUCCUUUAAGUGGGGAAUAGCCCGGGGAAACCCGGAUUAAUACCCCGUAAUAUUAUGAUGUGGCAUCACAUUAUAAUUAUAGAUUCAUCGCUUAAAGGUGGGCGUGCGCCUGAUUAGGUAGUUGGCGGAGAAUAGCCCACCAAGCCUGCGAUCAGUAACUGGUGUGAGAGCACGACCAGUCACACGGGCACUGAGACACGGGCCCGACUCC
This 313-nucleotide ribosomal RNA is filed under the name uncultured bacterium. Its description in RNAcentral is "bacterial SSU rRNA". It matches the Rfam family "Bacterial small subunit ribosomal RNA", at positions 28 to 339 of the family's 1533-position model. The record is from RNAcentral.